This 767-nucleotide long non-coding RNA is filed under the name Rattus norvegicus (Norway rat). Its description in RNAcentral is "long non-coding RNA NONRATT022915". The record is from RNAcentral. Lineage: Eukaryota; Metazoa; Chordata; Mammalia; Rodentia; Muridae.
GAACUGAUCCUGCGGGGCCAGUGCUGAGGAACCGUGGCCGAGGAUCUGUUUCGGGGGUGGGGGGGAGCGACCCUGUUGCGGGACCACUGUCUAGGGAUCAUUUGUGAGGGGUCGUUGCUAAGGGGGAGGUCUCUAGGAACCAUUUUUGAGGGACUGUUGCUGAGGGACCUCCACCGAGGAGCCGUUCCUGAGGGGGUUUGCCAACAGUCCAGCCCAUUCCUGGGGGACCUUUGCAGAAAUCUCAUCGCUGAGGAACAUCACUGGACUGGCCAGAGAGCUAAUUUCUGACUCCCAGUAUGGAAGAACCUACUGUCCAGUUUUCUGAUGAGGAACUUGUGGACAACUUCCCUACCCUGGAUGACGGUAAUAGAGGCCUUUUCCCAGCACAGACUGUUUCAGAACAGGAAACACAGUGUUUCCUGGUUGCCCUUUAUUCCAGGGAAAGUUUGUCGUCUAAAUUAACUUUUCAAACAGGGAAUUCUGCUAUUGUUCUCAGCUGGAAAAUAAUAAAUAGGCUGAGAAUUUCAAUGUGACACUUUGUGUUUUUCUAGUUUCUAACACCACCAUUAAUAAUAAACUGACACCUUUUAAAACUUAGUCCUUUGACUGUGACCUAUUUCUCCUUUUCUGGACUGUCUUAGAAUUUCUUUUAAAAUUUUCUGAUGAUCCAAACUUUUUAAGAGAUGUCCUUGAUUUGGCAUCCCUUCUAGCCUACAGACUUGACCCCUUGACCUUGCUUUCUGGGUCUAUAAGGACCCCUGGCCCUG